Phyllopteryx taeniolatus (common seadragon) is the source of this 600-nucleotide long non-coding RNA. RefSeq lists it as uncharacterized. The record is from RefSeq and is a predicted model, not a curated record. The transcript has 4 exons. NCBI's taxonomy places the organism in Eukaryota, Metazoa, Chordata, Actinopteri, Syngnathiformes, Syngnathidae.
UUUUUUUCCCCCCCCCCCAGUAUGAUUUACUAACAUGCCACUGAGAUCAGCAGCUAGCUGGUCUGUCUGAGUGCGGUGCUUUGCAGCCCACUUUGCCGUAAAUCUGAGGAGCUCUCUGCAAACAGCCUCUUUAUGACAGAGAACAAGGUGCUGCGGUGCAUACGUGCAUGUGCUGUAUGCAGUCGUGGGAAGUAACAAAGUACAAAAACAUUGUUACUGCAAUGUACUGCUGCUUGUUACUUUUUCGACCUCAGAUGACGACUCCACAUAAAAAAAUGCUAAUCGAGAGAUGUAAAGUCAUCAACUACAGUCUCAGAGCACCUUUCAGCACGUUUCCAGCUACCUCAUCCCGCCCGCCAUGGCAGUCUAACCUGAUGAAUCUACACACGCAUCUCCCAGCUGCACAGCUCACAGGCUUCUUUCAGCAACUGAACCUGCCAACAGCUUGAGCGCUAAUCUCCAGUGAUUUCUCUCCGAGUCAUUUUCUUUAUUGCCUUUUGAAUGUAAAAGUUGCUGACUGAUACUUCUGUUCUUCCACUUUCCAAAUCUCUUUACACACCUUUUCUCAAAAUGAGUGGAAGAAUAAAAGAAAAAAAAUGA